CAACCUACCUAUCAGAGGGGAAUAACCCGGCGAAAGUCGGACUAAUACCGCAUAAAACAGGGGCACCNNNUGGUGAUAUUUGUUAAAGAAAUUCGCUGAUAGAUGGGCAUGCGCUCCAUUAGGUAGUUGGUGAGGUAACGGCUCACCAAGCCGACGAUGGAUAGGGGAACUGAGAGGUUGGUCCCCCACACUGGUACUGAGACACGGACCAGACUCCUACGGGAGGCAGCAGUGAGGAAUAUUGGUCAAUGGGCGGGAGCCUGAACCAGCCAAGUCGCGUGAAGGAAGAAGGAUCUAUGGUUCGUAAACUUCUUUUGCAGGGGAAUAAAGUGCGGGACGUGUCCUGUUUUGUAUGUACCCUGAGAAUAAGGAUCGGCUAACUCCGUGCCAGCAGCCGCGGUAAUACGGAGGAUCCGAGCGUUAUCCGGAUUUAUUGGGUUUAAAGGGUGCGUAGGUGGUUUGAUAAGUCAGCGGUGAAAGUUUGCAGCUUAACUGUAAAAAUGCCGUUGAAGCUGUCGGACUUGAGUGUAAAUGAGGUAGGCGGAAUGCGUGGCGUAGCGGUGAAAUGCAUAGAUAUCACGAAGAACUCCGAUUG
Molecule: ribosomal RNA, 595 nt
Filed under: uncultured Bacteroidota bacterium
Lineage: Bacteria; Pseudomonadati; Bacteroidota
Description: bacterial SSU rRNA
Rfam family: Bacterial small subunit ribosomal RNA
Source: RNAcentral